Molecule: long non-coding RNA, 501 nt
Filed under: Androctonus crassicauda
Lineage: Eukaryota; Metazoa; Arthropoda; Arachnida; Scorpiones; Buthidae
Source: RNAcentral
GUAUUUUAUUAAGUAUGGAUAGAACUGUACUAUUGUAUUUCAAAGCAAUUGUUUUUUUUUUUUUUUCCUGACAAAUUUUAGUCCAUAUUGAUUUUCUUAAAAUUUAAUUUAUUCUUGAUAAUCGCUGGAAUUAUUGAGUGGCCAAUAUAGCUUUGUAAGUGACAGCAAUAAGCCUAGAAAGACCUAAUUGUGGUCACACUGCAAAUUUUUGUAGCCAUUUUUGUAAUUUUGUCACAACUAUAAUAACAACAGUUCUUCCACCAAAUUGGUGAAUCCUCUUUGAAUAGCAUGUGAAUGCAGUUGUGCUUGAAAACAAAGUUCGUCUUUCUAGUGACUUGCAAGCAUGCAGCCAAUGAAGAGAGUUAAUCUCUAACAUGAUAAAGCAAAAUAGCAGUAAAACAUGGAAUUCUAUGAUAAUCAAAUUACACUGCUCAAUGACUUUUUUUUUUAUUUUUUAUUUAUUAAUGGUUCCUUUGAAAAACAGUUUGUGAAGCAGGAUUU